GGUCGCACUCCCCGCAGCCUUCGCAUGGCGGCGGCUCUUUCCUUCGGGGAGUGACGGCGACCGAUUUCGGAGCGACGGAUUCCCAUGGUGAGUGGCGACCUCGCUGGUUUGGAAAGCGCCUCGUAGGGCAACGACACGAGUUCCGUUUGGUUGCAAGGCGCGACGGGAUGGUGUGUGGCCGCGAAUAGUGUUCCGUCUUUGGCGUUUUCCUCCUCCUCGGUUGCUGAGAUGGCCGGUCGCGGGAAGGCAGUCGAUGCCGGCGCGUCCAAAGGCGACGUCGAGGAGCUCCGAGGCCGGGCUAUAGUUUUUCCUCGGCAGGAUCGCCAGAUUCCUCAAGGUCGUCAAAUACACAAGUUCUUCGGCACAUGAGUACCUCGCCGCUGAGGUCCUGGAACUGGCCGGCAACACUGCCAGGCACAACAACAAGACAUGUAUCAUGUCAGGCCCCGCCACAUCCUGCUCACCAUGCGCAAUGAUGCUGAGCUGACCAAGCUGCUCGGUGGUGCCACCUGUAGGUGCGCCUCUCGCCGUGUGGAUACAUUUCAGAGCCGCAACAUCCUUCCAAGUAAUGUCUCCUCGCUCUUGUCCUCCUCGUCAUCAUACUCCAAUAGGUGUUAGUGAUAGCAAUGCCCAAUUCUCCAUGCUCACCUCCACGCUACACCAUGGGCUGAUACUCGCUCGGUCCAACAAUAAAUCAAGCACAACUACAACUAUGGCCUUCACUACCUUAGCUUUUUGGAGUUGGCACUAAAGUUGUUUGAUGAAAAUCCAAUGGUGCUGAUGGGUAUGAAGUUAUCCCUCGUGAAUAUAUCCAGUCCAUUUUUAAUCCUCGAUGGUCACAAUUAAACUUCACCUUCUCAUGAGACCAUCUUUGCUUUGUUUGAUAAUAAGACAUGACAUAGGGGGCCAAGCAACACGGAUCUGAAGAACCAUGUUACCUAACUUGCUCUAAUACGCUACAAUAAUAAAAGAGGAUAUACACGAGAAUUACACUUCAUAGUUGAUUCCAGAACAUCAUAUACAUGUAUUGGUAUAUUCUCAUCACAAUGUUAGUAGUUGGCUAUAAAUAACUUGUUUAUCAUCCAUCUAGCUCGACGUGAUGGUUACCUGUUCAGUCCCGUGAAUUUAGCAUAAUCAAUCUCCAGCCAUAAAUAGCUGGUUUUGAUUCAUCCAUCUUGCUCAGUAUGAUGGUUAUCUCUCAAUCUCCCUAAAUUUAUCAUGAUCAAUCUCCACCUAUAAAUAACUGGUUUCGAUACAUCCAUCAAGCUUGGCAUGACGGUUAUCUACUUAUUCUCUCUGGAAUCAGCAUGAUCAAUCUCCAAUUUAUGAGUAUUUUAACCCAAUUCGUUCUCUAAAUAUUCCACUCCCUAUCUCAUGUUGUCUGUAGGGAACACAAGACGGACAUGAACUUGGAGCAAGUCCGUCCGUGUCAGCUCCUUUUCAUUUAUUUAUUUUGAGAAUUCCUUCUCAUUUAUUCAUGAGCUUACUUGUGCUACUAUUCUUGUCCGCCGUUCCUUUUCUGCUUGCAUGUUUGGAGCCAUGAGGAUUGCCACUCGCAUAAGCGGCGGCAUACCCCAGAUGGCAACUUGCGUGAAUGAGCUGAUGAGAGGUGAUGGUGAAAGGCUAAUGAUGGCUUCUUUGACCAACACUCGUGCCAUCCCUGGUCUUCUACUCCUCACCAAUACACCAUCGCGUGCCUUAGACUACACCGACACCCUAGGGUUUCCUUUAGUUGGUGUUUUCCGUAGAAGUACCAAAGCGUUUUUAGAGUUUGACAAUAACCUGGCCAUUUUGUUAAUGGAUGAAUAUUCAGAUCAGAUAUAGAAAUCUAACACAUAUGUAUAUAUAUUAGUUGUACCUAUCGUUAUGCUAAAAAUGCAGUUUUGUUCA
Long non-coding RNA from Triticum dicoccoides, 1890 nucleotides. RefSeq lists it as uncharacterized. The transcript has 2 exons. Lineage: Eukaryota; Viridiplantae; Streptophyta; Magnoliopsida; Poales; Poaceae. The record is from RefSeq and is a predicted model, not a curated record.